This 483-nucleotide long non-coding RNA is filed under the name Equus caballus (horse). RNAcentral's name for it is "lncRNA (ENSECAG00000059895.1)". The record is from RNAcentral. Lineage: Eukaryota; Metazoa; Chordata; Mammalia; Perissodactyla; Equidae.
CUUCACAGCCCCAAACGGUUUCCCGACUGUUGGCCCAUCCUGAACUGAACGCUGCCUGAGCGACGGCGGAGACUGCAGAGCCAGGCCGCCACCCAUGAGGCUGACGUUCUUCCCUCUACUCCCACCAGACGCCUCCCCAGCUGGUGAGGACGCACAGAGGCCACGGUCUUCCCUCUACUCCCACCAGACGCUUCCCCAGCUGGUGAGGACCCACACGAGGCCACGGUCUUCCCUCUACUCCCACCAGACGCUUCCCCAGCUGGUGAGGACGCACAGAGGCCACGGUCUUCCCUCUACUCCCACCAGACGCCUCCCCAGCUGGUGAGGACACACACGAGGCCACGUUCAUCCUCUACUCCCACCAGACGCCUCCCCAGCUGGUGAGGACACACAUGAGGCCACGUUCAUCCUCUACUCCCACCAGACGCCUCCCCAGCUGGUGAGGACACACACGAGGCCACGGUCUUCCCUCUACUCCCACCA